CCUACGGGAGGCAGCAGUGGGGAAUAUUGGACAAUGGGGGGAACCCUGAUCCAGCCAUGCCGCGUGUGUGAAGAAGGCCCUCGGGUUGUAAAGCACUUUCAGUGAGGAAGAACGCCUGGUGGUGAAUACCCAUCAGGAAAGACAUCACUCACAGAAGAAGCACCGGCUAACUCCGUGCCAGCAGCCGCGGUAAUACGGAGGGUGCGAGCGUUAAUCGGAAUUACUGGGCGUAAAGCGCGCGUAGGUGGCUUGAUAAGCCGGUUGUGAAAGCCCCGGGCUCAACCUGGUGAACGGCAUCCGGAACUGUCAAGCUAGAGUGCAGGAGAGGAAGGUAGAAUUCCCGGUGUAGCGGUGAAAUGCGUAGAGAUCGGGAGGAAUACCAGUGGCGAAGGCGGCCUUCUGGACUGACACUGACACUGAGGUGCGAAAGCGUGGGUAGCAAACAGGAUUAGAUACCCUUGUAGUC
This 466-nucleotide ribosomal RNA is filed under the name Vreelandella stevensii. Its description in RNAcentral is "partial 16S ribosomal RNA". It matches the Rfam family "Bacterial small subunit ribosomal RNA", at positions 338 to 795 of the family's 1533-position model. The record is from RNAcentral. Lineage: Bacteria; Pseudomonadati; Pseudomonadota; Gammaproteobacteria; Oceanospirillales; Halomonadaceae.